CACGUAGGGCGCAAGCGUUGUCCGGAAUUAUUGGGCGUAAAGAGCUCGUAGGCGGUCUGUUGCGUCUGCUGUGAAAACUCGGGGCUUAACCCCGAGCCUGCAGUGGAUACGGGCAGACUAGAGGUAGGUAGGGGAGAAUGGAAUUCCCGGUGUAGCGGUGAAAUGCGCAGAUAUCGGGAGGAACACCGGUGGCGAAGGCAGCCUCCUGGGCCAACACUGACGCUCAUGCACGAAAGCGUGGGGAGCAAACAGG
This 253-nucleotide ribosomal RNA is filed under the name uncultured bacterium. RNAcentral's name for it is "partial 16S ribosomal RNA". It matches the Rfam family "Bacterial small subunit ribosomal RNA", at positions 524 to 776 of the family's 1533-position model. The record is from RNAcentral.